Molecule: unclassified non-coding RNA, 300 nt
Filed under: uncultured Helotiales
Lineage: Eukaryota; Fungi; Ascomycota; Leotiomycetes; Helotiales
Description: sequence contains 5.8S rRNA gene, ITS2
Rfam family: 5.8S ribosomal RNA (bases 1-92)
Source: RNAcentral
ACAGAGGGGUAUAAGAGACAGGUGAGUCAUCGAAUCUUUGAACGCACAUUGCGCCCUCUGGUAUUCCGGGGGGCAUGCCUGUUCGAGCGUCAUUAUAACCACUCAAGCUCUCGCUUGGUAUUGGGGUUCGCGGUUUCGCGGCCCCUAAAAUCAGUGGCGGUGCCUGUCGGCUCUACGCGUAGUAAUACUUCUCGCGAUUGAAUCCGAUAGGUCUACUUGCCAGUAACCCCCAAUUUUUACAGGUUGACCUCGGAUCAGGUAGGGAUACCCGCUGAACUUAAGCAUAUCAAUAAGCGGAGG